Sinocyclocheilus rhinocerous is the source of this 486-nucleotide long non-coding RNA. RefSeq lists it as uncharacterized. NCBI's taxonomy places the organism in Eukaryota, Metazoa, Chordata, Actinopteri, Cypriniformes, Cyprinidae. The transcript has 3 exons. The record is from RefSeq and is a predicted model, not a curated record.
AGACGGGCUGUUUACCAGCUCAGAGCUCAAAACAAGAGCACGAGAGCAGUGUGGCUCGAUUUACCACAGGCUCUUCCUUUUAAACAUCGUUUUCGUUUCGAUUUGAUUAGUCAUGAAUAAUAAUUGUUCUUGUUGUUAAUAACAUCGAGGAAUGGAAAUGUGUCAACUGCUGUACUUUGUGUUUCUGUUCUGCUCUGGUUUGGUGGACUGUUUGUCUGUUGUUGAAGAGUGUAUAACAUCUAAUGGAGAGGACUAUAGGGGAAUGCAACAGAAGACAUCCACAGGGAAUAUCUGCCUCAACUGGAAGAGUCUAAACUCACAGACAGAUGUUGGAGAUCACAAUUUCUGUCGCAACCCAGAUGGUUCAGAGAAGCCCUGGUGCUAUGUCUCCGGGUCCGAUGGAGCGACCAGAAAAGAAUCAUGUGACAUAAGGACAUGCCAAGGUAGCCAUAUUCUCUCCUAAUUAAACCAAAUAUUUUUUUUAAA